UUAAAGGCUUUGAAAAAGAGGAGUAUUUUUCCGCUUGCGUUCAGAGAGCAGCCGGUCGGUGCAAGGCUGCGGCAAUGAAAAAGAAGGUAGCUUUGGAGCCGGUGCGGUGAGUUCAGUAGCCGUGCACGCACGCCUGCGUUAUGGGUUUAAGCGGCAUUUUUAUAAUGCAAUUUGAGUGGUACCGCGGAAUUUCAGCUUUCGUCUCAUUA
Molecule: non-coding RNA, 209 nt
Filed under: Anaerotruncus sp.
Lineage: Bacteria; Bacillati; Bacillota; Clostridia; Eubacteriales; Oscillospiraceae
Description: T-box sequence
Rfam family: T-box leader
About the family: Uncharged tRNA acts as the effector for transcription antitermination of genes in the T-box leader family. T-boxes are found upstream of many aminoacyl-tRNA synthetase genes and some amino acid biosynthetic genes usually in Gram-positive bacteria. The anticodon of a specific tRNA base pairs to a specifier sequence within the T-box motif, and the NCCA acceptor tail of the tRNA base pairs to a conserved bulge in the T-box antiterminator hairpin.
Source: RNAcentral